Molecule: long non-coding RNA, 6689 nt
Filed under: Nicotiana benthamiana
Lineage: Eukaryota; Viridiplantae; Streptophyta; Magnoliopsida; Solanales; Solanaceae
Description: long non-coding RNA (NBEN_LNC007395)
Source: RNAcentral
UAAACUAUCAAAAUUAAACCUUGAAGAAAUCGUCGCUCUCAGCCUCAACCUAGAACACAUCGACCUCACCAUCGACGAACUCUGUCGGCCAGCUCCGAAGGAUGACUACUGCUGGUGAAUGACGAUCAGUUUCAGCUAACAUACAAGCAAUCUUUGAGAUAGGUUAUCAAUUUUUCCCAUGUUUGAUAUUUGUAUAACUAUUUGAUUUUCUCUUUGUUUUUCCCGUUAUGUUUUCUUUAUCUGGUAUAGUUCUUGUAAACACAUUAUUUUGCUUUUGCUUUGUUGUAUUACUUGAUACAUUUAUGAUUUCUACUUCGCAAAAUUAGGAGAUUUAUUUGUUAGGUUUUGAUUUUCUGUUUGAAACCAUGAGAUUCUGUUGUUCGAUAUUUGCUAUCGAUGUUUGCUUUCUUGAUUAUUUAGAACAAUAGUUUCGCGGAUCUUUUUUUCUUUCUCUGGUAAUAUUUUGGGAGCUUUUUUCUUUCUCGGGUAAUUUUUUCUUUCUCCUUUUUUCUUCUUUUUCUUUCUCUGGUAAUAUUCCGAAAAAUCGUUUCGUUUCCCCAAUUUCUCUGGUAAUAUUUUCUUUAUUCGAUGUUUGCUAUCAAUGUUCUAUCUUCGCUGUGAUUUCUGGUUUGUAAAAUUGGGGAAUUUAUUUGUUUUUUCUUAUUUUCUCUUUGAAACUAUAAGAUUUUUGUUCUAUGUUAUCUAUGGAUGUUCCAUCUUCGUUGUUCGCUUUCUUGGUUAUUUAGAAAAAUCAUUUCGCAGCUCCUUUAUUUCUUUCUCUUGUAAUAUUUUUGAUAAACACAUUCUUUUACACAUGUACGAUUAUGUUUGUGUUGCUUUCACUUAAAAUUGUGUGAUUUGUUCAUGUCUAUGCUUUAGUCUAACGGGUAAGUGUUUGCCUUCACAUCUAUUAGAUAUUGGGGUUAUUCUUCUCACACAAAUUGCUUUCAUUUCUAAAUUUUCUUGCUUGGUAAAAAUAAUGCUAUCUAAUCCUUAAAAUCCAUCUAAUAAACUUUCGGAAGUAGAGCUUUUUUGACUUAUAGGUAGUUCAUCAAUCACACUCUCAUAAUUAAUAACUUAGUGCAAAGAACGAAAAGCUAUAAGCAUGCUGUGCACGUUGUAAACUGUUGAGGUCUUUUCUUUAUAAUUACGACAUAUGAACUUAAAUUACCCAUUUUCAAUUACAUAUUUUAUCUAACUUUAUGAUGUUAUUUGGUCAUAGUAUAUCUCAGAAUAGUAGAGCUUUCCUUGAACAGUGAAUAUUCAAACCUCUUUCUAACCUCAAGUCAUUAAAUUAUUAUAUGUACAGUAAACUUUUAAGCAAAUAAAAGGGACUAUGGAUAGAAGACAUGGAAACACCUCAAUUACAAGCAAAUGAAUAGACUGUUUCUAACAUAAUUGUUGCUUCAUGUCAUGUAAUAGCAUAUUAAUUGCAUUAUUGUGAAAGCAAGUUCAUCACAGAAUGAUCCUAUGAAUCUUUUGGAGAAUAGACCUCAUUUGGAGCAAAGCAGUAAUGUUACAGUUAGAGAUUAAGAAUUAAAUUAUUUCUGCCCUUUAUCUAAAUUUUAAACAUUUGAAGUUAUCAUGAAUUAGUGUAUUAGUAUCAAUCCAUAAACUAUGCCUCAGUUUGUGAUGACCUUAAUUUUAAGUACCGAGGCUUUGGAAACCUCUUUAGCCUCACCUUGAUUUACGUGUACAGUCUGAAUGCGUAGCCAGAAAGCUUAAAUGUGAAAGUCUAUGGAAAAUAAUAAAAUUUUGGCUAUAAAAUGAAUUAAUUUGACUUUGGUCAAUAUUUUAGAUAAACGGACCCGGACCCGUGAUUUGAAGGUCCCGGAGAGUCCGUAGGAAAAUAUAAGACUUGGGCGUAUGCCCCAGAAUAAAAUUUUGAGGUCCCGAGCAGGGGAAAUGAAUUUAAAAAAAAAUUAUUUUAGAGGAGGCUCAUAGUUCCCGGUACUCUAUUCUCCCGGGCGUCGCAAAGAUGUAUCAGGAUUUGCGGCAACAUUAUAGGUGGUGGAGAAUGAAGAAGGAUAUCGUAGCAUAUGUGUCCCGUUGUUUGAAUUGUCAGCAGGUCAAGUACGAGCAUUAGAGGCCUGGUGGUUUAUUUCAGAGGAUUGAGCUUCCCGAGUGGAAGUAGGAGCGAAUCACUAUGGGCUUCGUUACUGGAGUCCCGUGACCCGGAAGAAGUUUGACGCCUUAUGGGUCAUUGUUGAUGGGCUGAUCAAGUCAGCACAUUUCAUUCCUGUGGCAGUCUCCUAUUUUUCUGAGAGGUUGGAUGAGAUCUAUAUCCGGGAGAUUGUUCGCCUUCAUGGUGUGCCUGUGUCUGUCAUUUCAGACCGAGGUACGAAGUUUACCUCAUGCUUCUGGAGAGCAUUUCAGUAAGAGUUGGGCACUCAGGUUGAGUUGAGCACAACAUUUCAUCCUCAGAUAGACGGCCAAUUCGAGAGGACUAUUCAGAUUUUGGAGGAUAUGCUCCAAGCUUGUGUCAUUGACUUCGGAGGCUCGUGGGAUCAGUUUUUACCUUUAGCAGAGUUUACCUACAACAACUGCUACCAGUCGAGUAUCCAGAUAUCUCCUUAUGAGGACUUAUAUGGUAGGCGGUGUCGGUCUCCGGUUGGAUGGUUUGAGCUGAGAGAGGCUAGGUUGUUGGGUACUGAUCUGGUUCAGGAGGCCUUGGACAAGGUCAGGAAUAUUCAGGAUAGACUUCGCACAGCUCAAUCUAGGCAAAAGAGUUAUGCAGACAGCAAGGUUCGAGAUAUGGCUUUUAUGAUCGGUGAGUGGAUGUUGCUCCGAGUGUCUCCUAUGAAGGGCGUGAUGAGAUUUGGGAAGAAGGGCAAGCUUAGCCCUAGGUUUAUUGGCCCGUUUGAGAUUCUUGAUCGAGUGGGAAAGAUGGCUUAUAGACUUGCAUUGUCGCCAAGCUUAUCAGCCGUGCAUCCAGUGUUUCAUGUAUUUAUGCUUCGAAAAUAUCACGGUGAUCCAUCACGCGUGUUAGAUUUCAACACUAUCUAGUUGUACAAGGACUUGUCUUAUGAGGAUGAGCCGGUAGCUAUUCUAGACUGACAUGUUCGCCAAUUGAGAUCAAAUAAUUUUCCUUUUGAUCGUAUUCGGUGGAAAGGUCAGCAUGCUGGUAUCGACCUGAGAGCCUGAGUCCGAUAUGCAAAGCCGUUAUUCCCAUCUUUUUCCAGAAUCAGGUACUUCCUUCUUCUGUCCGUUCGAGGACGAACGAUUUUUUAGAAGUGGAGAAUGGGAUGAACUUAAUUAUAAGUACCAAGGCCUUGAAAACCUUUUUUAGUCUUGUCUCGAUUUGUGUGCGCAGUCCGGGCGCGUAGCCGGAAAGCUUAAAUGUGAAAUCUAUAAAAAUGGUAAAUUUGUAGCUAUAAAAUAAAUUAAUUUGACUUCGGUCAAUAUUUUGGGUAAACGGACCUAGACCCGUACCCCUACCCGUAAUUUGAUAUUCUCGGAGGGUCCGUAGGAAAAUAUAGGACUUGAGCGUAUGCCCGGAAUCGAAUUUCGAGGUCCCGAGCCUGGGAAAUGAAUUUUUAAAGAAAAUUAUUUUCUGAAAUUGUUUAAGGAAAUUUAAAAUGAAAUUUGAUUAAAACAUGUUAAUAUCGUGCCUGUAUUUUGGUUCCGGCGCCCGAUACCGGUUUUAUAUAUGAUUUAAGAUGUUUUUGUGAAAUUUGAUGAAAAACAGAUAUCAUUUGACAUGAUUCGAACCUAAUUAUGAAGUUUGAGAAAUAUCCUUUGAUUUGAGGUUUAACUCGUUGUUAUUGAGGUUAUUUUGGCGAUUUGAUUGCACGGAUAAGUUUGUAUGAUGUUGAUGAGUAAGUCCAUAUGUUUGGUUAGGAGCCCCGAGGGCUCCGGUGGGACAUGUUAGUAUCUGUCCUGUAUUUUGAUUCUGGAGCCCGGUACAGGGUUUAUAUAUGAUUUAAGAUGUUUCUAUGAAAUUUGGUGAAAAACGGACGUCGUUUGACGUGAUUCAAACUUAAAUUACUAAUGUUGAUGUUUUAUAAAGUUUUAAAAAAAUCCUUUAAUUUUGAGCUUUAGUUCGUUGUUAUUGAGGUUAGUUUGCCGAUUUGAUCAAACGGAUAAGUUCAUAUGAUGUUUUGAGUUAGUAUGAACCUUCGGUUUGGAGUUCCGAGGGCUCGGGUGAGUUUCGAGUAGGUUCUGGAAGGUCUUAGGCUUAAUAACACAAAUAUUGCAGGUUUAGAGCUAUUUUAGCUCUUUGAACCCGAUAGUGCGGUCCGCGAGAAAUCUUGUGCGACCGCGGAGGAGGCCAGCGUGGUCCGUCGUCGGCUUUGUGCAGUGCGCGGAGGAGGCCAGCGCAGUCCGUGGUGGUUUUUUGUGGUGCACGGUGGAGGACUGUGCGGUCGCAAUCGACUUUGUGUGAUCCUUACAGGAUCCCUAAGUUGUAGUAUCCUUAGGAAGGGCUGUGCAGCUGUAAUCUAUUUUGUGCAGUCCCCGCAGGGGUCUGAGAGGGGUAUAAGUAACCGGAAUUUUCAGUCAUUUAGCAUUUUUCAAACCCCAAACACAUAAGAGGCGAUUUUUCAAACAACCUUUCUUCUCCAAAUCAAUUAUAAGUCAUUUUUAACUAAUUUUCUUCAAUCAUCAUCUUUUACCAUGAUUUCAACUUCAAAUUAAUGAUUUGUAUGGUGGAAAUUGGGUGUUUUGGGUAGGACCUAAGUUUUCAAAAAAUUGGGGAUUUGGACCUCGAUUGAGGUCCGAUUCCAAAACAAAUUAUAUAUUUGAGUUUGUGGGGAAAUGGGCAGGCGGGUUUUGAUUCGGACCUCGGGUUUUGACCACGUGGGCCCAGAGACAAUUUUGACUUUUUGGGGUAAAACUUUGAAAAACUUAUUUUCAUGCAUUCAAAUUGAUUCAUUUAACAUUUAUUGAUGUAAUUAAGUAACUUGUGGCUAGAUACGAGCGAAUUCGUGAUUAAAUCAAGGGGUAAAGCUAUAAUUGAAACUUAAGUUAGUGUUCGAGGCAUCGAGGUAAGUGUUCGGUCAAAUCUUAGCUUGAGGGAUUAGGAGUUGAGUCCUAUUUGCUAUUUGCUUCUUGUUGAGUAUGACGUAUAGGCAUGUUGACGAAUAUCUAUGGUUGGUGUCGAGCAUGAACGUGAGUCUUAAAUGAAUAUUUGUAGUGUUCUUUCACAAUUCUACGGAUGCUUUAAUUGGUGAAUCCUUGACAUUGAGAAAAGACUUAGUUUAUUUUCGUGGAAUUCACUUAUUAUUGAGAAAUGGUGAUAACCGAGAUGAGUCGGAGUUGAGUUAAUAUUGAAUAUAUCUAAUUCUCCCUUGCCGGGACGUAUAUACUUAUUCUAUUCAAUUUCCUUGCCGGGAUAGUGUGGUUACUAUUGAUCCUUUGCCAGGACUGUUACUAUGAUUAUUGUUGACUGUAUAUUUGAAACGGGUUGCGUGCCGCAAUAUUUUUUUAUAUAUAUAUGGAUCGGGUUGCACGCCACAAUACUAUUAUAUAUGGAUUGGAUUGAUAUAUUAGAUCAGGUUGCACGCUGCAACAGAUAUAUAGAUAGAUUGGGUUGCACACCACAACAGUGUUGAUUGAUAUGGGACCGGGUUGCGUGCCGCAACAGUAGUAUUGUAUUGUUGUAGAUAUUGUAAUGUCCUUUCAUAUUUCUAUUUAGUUUCUGCUAAGAUUUGAUAUGUUCCCUGAAUCACGUACCCGUUCCCAUUUAAACUGCUUAUUUAUGUUUAUUUUCCGGUCGUAUAUUAUAUAAUUGCACAGGAUUAUCUGGAGUCUGGUCCUAACGUCGUCACUACCUUACUGGGAUUAGGCCAGACACUUACCAACACACAGGGUCGGUUGCUGGUACUACACUUUGCACUCUGUGCAGAUACCGAGACAACACUGGGACAACAGUAGUAGUUUGGGAGCCAGCCUUCAGUCCACCGAGAUACCGAGGUAGACCUGCAGGCAUCCACAGGCCCGACGUCUCUUCUAUCUUUUAUUAUGUUAUGUUAUCUAUUGUAUUCGAGACAGGCAGUGAUACUUUCUUUCAAAUAGUUAUAUGAAGUAAUCUUAGUAGUCCAUGAAUGAUGUGACACCAAUUUCUGGGUAGAGGCAUAUAUAGAUUUUUCUUAUCAUUUUGGUUCAUUUUUUCCAAGUCUUCCGCUUAAUCUCAUAUUCUGCUGUUAAUUAAAUAUUUAUCGCUUGUUAUUAUAUGUUGUAAAAAGCAUUUAAAAAAUAAGAGUUAAGAAUUCAUAAUUUUGUAGCUUGCCUAGCUUCUAUGAGUAGAAGCCAUCACGACUCCGAGGGUAAGAAAUCCGGGUCAUGACACAGUCCCAUUUUAUUAAUACUCUGUAUAGAAGUACAACUUGUACAUGCAAAAAAAAGGAAAAAAAUAUAUAAGUAAAAACAAAAAGAAUAAUAAAUCUAGAAGUUUCAAGUGCUCAACUGAAAGGAUGGUUUCUAAAAAGAAUGAUUUAUUUUGCACUUUUAGGUUCGCAAUGUAGUAUCUGAGGUAAUUUUAGAUGCUUAAAUAAGACGACAAUAAGUAGUAAUUGUGUGAAAACUAUGACAUGCAUUUUGGAAAAUGAAGUGGCGAUGUCCCUACUUGUCAUUGGCUGCCCCCUUCCUCAUGUCUUUCCUCCUCUCUUGGACAACAUCAAACCUUUGUCUUCUUAUUUUUUCUCAGGGUGCUGCUCGCAAAUUAGCUAUACAGAGAAAGAAUAUAGAGG